Pangasianodon gigas (Mekong giant catfish) is the source of this 72-nucleotide non-coding RNA. The record is from the annotation of a GenBank genome assembly. NCBI's taxonomy places the organism in Eukaryota, Metazoa, Chordata, Actinopteri, Siluriformes, Pangasiidae.
ACACAGACUAGCACACACUAACACAGACUAGCACACACUAACACACUCUAACACAGACUAGCACACACUAAC